GCACGAUCUGUAUGGACUUAUGCGAAGGCAUCCUUAGAAUAGAUUUCUAGAACUCAACGACUGGAUCAAGUGAUAUAUGCACUUUGAAUCUUGAUAAUUCCUGUUUGUGGUAGAAACCGUUCAUCGUCCUCCAAUAGCCAUCAUCUCUCUUUCUCCAUUUAGCACUGGACCUCCUGACUUUUAGCUGGCACAACUCGAGAAUGUACCUCCCAACCUCCAUUGCUGCUACAUGGAGAUGUGCGACGAAGUCCUGCCCAGUGAGAGGAACGGGUUGCUCAAAAAGUAAAUGACUCGUGGGUCACGUGAGUGGGGAAGGCCGAGGUGGAGUGACAGCGCCCUUCUAGUUCGCCCACCAGCCUCCUGCCCGAGCAGACAGGGAAUCCGUCGUGCCCGCGACUGUGCCCAUCUCAGAGUGCACGCUGUGUUCUUGCGGCCCGUGACAGCAUGGAGUGAAUCGGUUAGGAGCCUGCUUAGCUGUGAGGAAUACAGCGCCCAACGAACAGUGCCCUGAGCGAUAAAGACAUUCCCCCAAUCCACAAAGAACUACUGAGAGGUGACCCCAUGCCAGGCACUGUUGUAGGAGCUGGGGAGAGAGCAGAGAAAAGCGAACUUCCUGUUCCGGAGCAAGAAGGUAGCUCCUGUGAGGGCAGGGGCUUGACUUUGCCUUGAAUACCCUGGGCACCUUUCUCCUCCAGUCCCCCCUUGUAUUGGCUUCUGCCUCGUGGUCAACAGGUGGCUUGGGAUGUCCAGGAAUCUCAGUGGAGACAGAUAGCAGGAGACAGAGGUGACCAGCCAUUCCUGUUCCCUCUACCAGAAGGACACAAGCUUUCCCGGAACCCCCAGCAGAUUCUUACUUACCAUCA
This is a long non-coding RNA of Neofelis nebulosa (Clouded leopard), 863 nucleotides long. RefSeq lists it as uncharacterized. NCBI's taxonomy places the organism in Eukaryota, Metazoa, Chordata, Mammalia, Carnivora, Felidae. The record is from RefSeq and is a predicted model, not a curated record. The transcript is spliced from 3 exons.